UUCCACUUUAGGAGGCCACCAUAGUCUGG
This 29-nucleotide non-coding RNA is filed under the name Mus musculus (house mouse). The record is from RNAcentral. Lineage: Eukaryota; Metazoa; Chordata; Mammalia; Rodentia; Muridae.